Bombus terrestris (buff-tailed bumblebee) is the source of this 8765-nucleotide long non-coding RNA. RefSeq lists it as uncharacterized. The transcript is spliced from 3 exons. The record is from RefSeq and is a predicted model, not a curated record. Lineage: Eukaryota; Metazoa; Arthropoda; Insecta; Hymenoptera; Apidae.
CUACUCGUUCCACGUGCCGCUCGGUACUUCCUUGCCCCGUGCCCCGUGCCCCGUGCCCCGUGUCCCGCGUCCCGUGCCCCGUUCCUCGUGCUCCUUGCUCUGCACCCUGUCUCGCGCACCACGUACCCCUGUAUCCCGGCCCCUCCGCUUCGCGCAAUACCACCUCCAACCCUUUUAGUUCCACCACAACGCGUCGAGGUGAAUCGCGCAACUCGCAACUUGCAACUCGCAACUCGCAAAUGCGUUUCAUCUUUGUCCCGUGUAUACGUCGAUUCGUAUUAUCGUCGACGGUCUCUUAAACCGGUUUUACUUAUUACGCGAGCGUCCGCUUAUCUCGCGUAGAUCUCUUAUUACCAGUCACGGUAAGCGAACGUUUCUCUGUUCCCGCGAUCUGUUUCUCCGGAGUUCCUACCUUCUAAUUCUUUUUUCGCUCUUUUUUUCUCUUUCUCCUUUCGAGGUGCUCGGCUGUUCUCCGUUCGAAUAUUCCACGCGGAAAUAGAACGAGUCCAAUGGAUAAAUUUUAUUCGAAGGAAAAUAGAGGGAACGACAAAUGAGGAGAAGAAGCAACGACGGUGAGGGCGUAGGGAAAGAUAAGAGAAGGAAAUGCGGAACGAAAACCGGGUAAAAGGAGAAGAAAGAAAGAGAGAAGCGUGCGAUAGAAGAAACGAAUAAUGGCGAGGGAAGAGGAGAUCGUGCACCAUAACCACGUGACCUUUUGACCGCAGGAAAUUCUUCGGAUAAACGGGCUUUUCACUGUACACAGCCAAGAAGGGAGCAACAAGUGUGAAUCUUGUCUACCCUGUGGAUCGGACGGUUCUUAGCUUUUCUCUCUGCUUUUCUACAUCUUUCUCUCCUCUUUCUCCUUUUUCCCUUCCCCCUUCUACUUAUCUAUCUACAUCCCCUCCACCAUUAUGCGCGCGCACACUCUUAACGAUGCACACGUUGUGACUUUGAUGACCUAUUCUUCGGUCCGAAUCGCAACGGAUCGAGCGUCAAUCGGGUACAAAAUUUUCAUGUCCCGACGAUCUUUCGCGUCCCGUUUUUCAUCGGAAGAGUAGAAAAGCGUUAAACGCGCAAAGUCGAACGAAACGUGUAACGAGAUUAGUUUCGACGCUGUCGGCAACCGUAUAGGAAAUUUGUGCCGCAGAUUCGAAAAUCGCGAUUUGAAAAGCCCGAUUCGUACCACGUAAGAAGCACGCAAGACGCGUAGAGCCCCGAACGUCGUCACUACAAACACGAUACGAUACUCUGAAAUGCUUAUUCACCGCUACGGAAUGAAUAAUGGAUUGCUAGCAAAAUACAUCGAGACAUAAAUAUUGUAUCUGGAGCGCUAUAUAUUACCUGUAUCGAAUACAUUAUCUAGAUCGUUCUCCGUUCUCUGUUCUGCUAGUUCCUAUCUGAUCGAGAUCGUUGCCAUGGGAAUGCACAUUCGCGACUCGAUCCGAUCGUUUCGUAUCGCGUCGGACUGUUCCAGUCUCUUCCAACUAGACACUGGUACUUUCUGAUUUUUCGAAACGAGCGUUUCUUUCGCUUUUCGAAACAUCGCUAGUACCAGCGGACCACCCAGUCACGAUAGUCACGACGACGCAUCGUAAGGUGUUCGAAAGCUCGUACGCUUGUCUUUUUCGCGUGGCUAUUGUCCGUUCGAUCGUCUGUACGUCGUCGCUACUUCCAGUGGCAUCCAGCGAUCUCGUUUCGAUCUCUUACGCACGUAAAUAAAAUUCUUUUUCGAUUGUGCUCGAUCGGUGAAAGAUAAAGUACGAUGGAGCGGGCAGAAAUGGGGACGAGAGAAAGAGAGAGAGAGGGAAGGAGGGAGAGACUAAAAGCCUAGCCAAGAUUCGGGCUGCGCGCGCGCGAGUAAACGUAAUCAUUUGCAAUCCCGCGUAGAACCGCUUUGAAACUCUACGAAGGAAUUUAUUAAAGUUUGACUAAGUCGCUUUACAAAGUUUCAUCGGUGCACCGAGGCACCGAAGAGUACCAAGAGGUGUACCGGCGGCGGUGCGAGAGCGGGGAUUGCGAGGUGCUCGGCGAGGAGAUCGGGUACCGCGCGGCAGCCGAGGGGCCAGCCACGACAAGGAAACGGAGGGGAAUCCUCUCGAAGAAGCGGGACGAAUUGCCGAAAGAGACGAAGGCGAAGGUUCGAGAGGCGGGAGGAGCGGUUGAAAUGGAUGAGAAAGGGCUGCUGGUGGAGAUGGUGGUGCUGGUGGCGGCGGUAGUGGUGGUAGUGGUGGCGGUGGUGGUGGUGGUGGUGGCGGCGACGACGGCGGUGGUGGUGGUGGUGGCGAUGGUGGUGGGGGGUGGUGGUGGCAGCGACGAUGGUGGAGGAAAACCCGGCAGGAGAAUGAGGAGGAGGAAGAGAUGGCGGUGGUGGAGGUGUAGGAGGUGGAGGUGGAGAAGGUGGAGGAGGCAGCAGCGAACGCAAAACGACGAUGGGAUGUGAACGAGGUGAAGCGGCAGAGGGAUGAGAGGAAUGGUGGAACGAACAGACGGAGGACGAGGGAGGCGAUGGGUGGUCGUCUUAGGCGGGGACGGAGGGGAAAUACAGGAGGGGGUAAAGUUACUUUCCCGGAGAAAUAAAAGUUAAUGGAGUUCCCUACCCCCCUCGUCCCACUACCUCCACCGCCUUUUUCUUCUUUUCCAUCUCCUUGCCGGCGUACAACUUUCACGAAAGUUAUUAUAUCUUAAUUUACUAUUGAACAUUAUCUGAAAUUUCUCCAACGUUUCCGUUUUAAUGCGCUGGAGAAUACGAACGAAGAAUAUGCGCGUAGCACAGUCCGACCAUACCAGAGACGAAAUAACGUCGAUACACCUUUCAUCGCUAACAAAAGGAAACGAAACGAAAAAUAGGGAGGAUAGCGCGAGGAAAAACGUGCCUCGUUCGUACGUUUCGCCGUGGUUAUGACUACGCGAGAUAAUACGUGCUCUUUUCUCCCGAUGAUCGGUAACUCGCGCGUUUCAUAAUUCUCGUGGUAAGAGAUACAUACUUUGCGAAACGUCGACUAUCAACACUUUACCGAGUCUUUACAUUCCUGACGUUUGCUUUGCUUCUACGCGAUGUAACUUUGACCGUUAUGCAAACAUUAUAUCCUCGUUUAUCGGAUAUUCGUUUGGCGAUGUAGUCCUGGUGUCAACGACCUUGUAUGUACAAUCACUACCAACGUACUCUCGACUCUCGAUGUCUUGUCCACGAUGGAAACGAACGAAUUGACUUAUUUUACCAAGCUUUACCGGGACAGCCUGGUUUCUGCUAUACCUAACGUUAACUCCCCCCUUUGCUCUUUUCCUCCUUCCCUUUUUCUCCGGUGCUCGCUCUUUUUUUUCUCUCUUCCAUUCCCGUUCCCAUUCUUGUUCCUAUUCCCCAUUCCUAUUUCCGUUCUCUUCCCUUCCUUUCCCAGCAUUUCGUCUUCCAGGCCACCCCUUCCCCCGCUUUGAUUUACGACCAUAAGUUGUAAUAUUUGCGCCACUAUUGUAUGGUAAUACGCACAGCAAAAAAUAUGUUAAUGGUUGCCAUAAAGAAGAUAUACAGCACGUACAUAUACAUACAUAUGUAUCCCAUUUCGCGGCAUGUACUCGCCGUACAUAUAGAAACUCCACUCUCGACAUCCCAUCUCUUUCAUUUUCCUCCAAAUGGUAUCCUCCGCUUUCUUCUCUUUCUUUUAUCGUAUCUUUCUCUCCUUGUUUAACCCCCUCCCCUCCGUUUCUAUACUUUCUUUACUUUUCCCUUUCUUACCUUUCCUGUUUUCAAACGGUAUUUCGAACGGUAUCGCUUUCGUCGAUUUAACUAACGAAAGUACGAGCGUACGAAGAUGGCUAAAAUAUAGUACUAUAUUUCUUCUUGCUUUUAAAUCGUUCGUUGGUCGAUGCGUAGUUACGACCGGUGAUAUACCCCAACGGUAACGAUAAAACGAUGUCGAUAUCGAACUAAAAUAAUCGGCGGCGUUUAUUUUUCGAACAUCGAGCGAAACUUUCUCGAAUAUCAUAGUACGUAAAAUAUAUGUGGAUGUAUCGUACACGUAGAUCGUGUUUCUCCGCUACGUAGACGUAAACUAGCACUGCUUUGUUCUUGCAUCAUCGAUCGAGCAAUAUCGAACGAUCGAUUGAAAUUUAUCGAUCGGUAUUCGGACGCUGAGAUCGUGUCGUUUCGCCUUCGUAAUCCCUUUUUCGCUACCACGGUUGCUGUUGCUGCUGCUUCUACCGCUGCUGCCACUGCCGCUGCGCUUCUCUCUUCCAUAACUCGAACAAUUCCAAUAGUCGUUAAUCUGUCGGAAACUUUCGGAAAACUUGCCGUUAUUGCAGGUACAGAGGCGAGCAGUCCAUGCAAGUAGGAUAAGCGGAGAAGCGCAAGGAGAAGGAGAAUGGUAGAGAGGAAUUGGGGUAAGAUGAGAUGAGAUGAGAUGAGAUGAGAUGAGACGAGAUGGGAUGAGAUGAGACGAGAUAAGAUAAAACGAGAUGAGAGGAGACGAGACGAGACGAGUCGAGACGAGACGAAAUGAGAUGAGAUGAGAUGAGAUGAGAAGAGAGAGAAGAUAAAAGAGAGUAGAGAAGAGGAGAAAGAUGGUUGAGUAGGCGAAGAAGAAGCCUAUUUGAUGGGAGGUGGAAGGGUUCGGAGAAAGGAGUUCGCAGGGCAGAUUCCACGCAGAGAUGCGACUCUAGAAGAGUCGAGGGAGAAUGGGGAUGGGAACCGGUGUGCCGAGGUAAGUUAAAUAAACUUGUUUAGUUUCGCGGAAACUUCUGCCUGGCCAUUGUAUUCGACUGCCUCGCUGCCGAGUUUGCUCUGAAACUUUCGAAUACGAACGAACUCGGUUCUCCGUUACGCUUUAUUCGCUUGCUUUACCAACUUGCUACCUACCGUUAGUUACUUUUCUCUCCCUUUCUUUCUUUCCUUCCUUCCUUCUUUCUUUCCUUCUCUUCCUCCUUUUCUCAAGAUUUCAAUGGUUUCUAUACAGGCAUAUAGGCAUAGGCCGUAUAAGUGUACCUCGUUGCUCUAUUUUUUCGUCAUCGCCGUCUCGGCGCUGCGACGCGACCGCGGCGCGCUGUCUCGAUAUCCCAUCAUUGCGAACGUUGCCCCCGUACCAUCUUCGCCUUGACCGUUCUUUGUUGUUCGCGUCGCCGCGUUUACGAAAAACAGACCGAAAGAUUUCUCUCUGUCGUUCGCCGUAUCGGCCAGAGAUUAGGCAGAAGAGGGAAUCCGAUCGGAAACAAAAUCGGGCAAAGUGCCCCGUCGCUAGUGUGGCAGCAGACCGAAUGGCUUAUUGAUUUAACGAGAGAGAGAAAGAGGCGAAAGAGAAACAGGAGGAAAGCAAGCACGGGGAAGAACGGGGGAGGCACAGGGGAGCACGGGGAAACACGGCUCGAGGUGGCUGGGGGGUCGCGAGCGGCAGCCUGGGGGAGGUUUGUGGGUGGCUAGGCUGAGACUAGGGAGAGGGUACGGGUACAGGAGAUGGGUAACGCGGAAUAGGCUAGGCGAAGGUGGGGAAGAGGAAGGCUCGCGGGUUCGCUGGCUCGCGAGCUCGGCAACGGAGAAAAGAGUAGGGUGAAGCGCAGGGUGAACCAGGGUGAAUCAAGGUAAGGUAGGGUAAGAUAGGGUCGGGGGCCGAAGAAUAAGGGAUACGGUUGCCAGUGUGCGGUGAUGAAAAGGGCAGAAGUAAAGACCAGAACGAAGCAACGGCAUAGAGAGGAUGGUUGGAAGCGAAACCGAAAUCGUCGAGAAACAAUCCGCGACUGGAUAAAAAGCUAAUAACUUGUUUUACCUUUCCGAUCCGAUGCUCUUUCAAAUAUUUUCUCACCUAGGUAUCAUCCGUAUCAUCCGUAUCACUUCCGACACGUGUGCCGACUAGCGCGUAGGUAAAUGCACCGGCUGCGUAUAAUACGUACAGCGAUAAUACGUAUCCGAUUUGUGAUUUUCAACUUGUUUGCCUUUUCGCGAUAAACUCGUAUAGAUACAACGUACUCGUACAAUAGCGAGUCACCGAUUCCACUUUGUUCGAAUACGUAGAAUUCGUUGUGUUUGCAAUUUUCGAAUCUCGUUCGAUUAUCCUUCUUAUUUUAAUCACGACGAUUCCUCUUUUCUUUCUCCUUUUCAUACCUUCGAUAUCACGAUCUUCGUCUCCCUUUCGGUUUUUCGUAACUAUAGUUUCGCUAUUUUUCUUGUUAAAUCGAAGAAUCGACUGCACAGAGCCUCGCUGGAAUAUCGUAAUAGCGACCGUUUCGUUGAACGACGUUCGAGUAGUAUCGAGGUGGCCGAAUGGUCAUUGGCCGAUCAACAAGUGGCUCAUGAUUUUGUCAGUGGCUCUGCAAGCGACUAACCCCGCUGGCCGGCCUGUUGUCCGACCGUCCGGCUGGCCGACUGUCUGCGUCCGGUUACCCGAUGCGGUCUACCGCUAAAACACUCGUGGCAUUCUCCGACCCAUCUAACUCGUCAUCCAUUAUACUCCUUCCAACCCAUCCUGUUUCGGGAAACCUUGAUCGGUCGAUGUAAUACCAAAAUAUCUGCCCGAUCCAAUCCAAUCAAGUUUUCCUCCUUUCGUCGUAUGUUCGACGAGUACGUAUGGCUUCCGGUCGGAAGCCUACGCUCAUCCGCGAUCAGUUUGCCUCUAGACAACGGCCGAUCGACAACGGAAAACAACCUAACUUCCUAACGAGUAUACGAAGCGUUUCGUACAAUUUCUCGGUUUCCAUAAUCGCUUGUGAUGUCGUUGCCGUCGUCGUUACCGUUGCGAAUAUCGAGGUAUCGAUGCUUAUCGGUCGCGUCUGUUUUGCAAAGCAUCGUGUGCGACACACUUUCUCUAUGAAACAACUUGACUACGAGCGAAAGAGAAAGCAAGUUUACCAGUAGCGGUCACUUUUCUACUACGCUUAAUUCCUCGGUUCGGCUACGAAAUUAGCUUGUACGGUCGUUGUAAUCGUACUCAAAUCGUUUUGAACAUUUUGUACGAAUGGUUGGAAAUAAGCGAGAGACAAGUAUACGGGCAAAGGACGGGCGCGCGCGCGCGCGCGCGCGUGUGUGUCUAUGCGUGCAUGCAUGCGUGCGUUGGGAACGAGCAAGAAAGAAGCUUGACGGAAGAGACAAAGGAUAGAGAUCGCGAAGAAAUCGAAGGACAGAAGACGAGGCAAAUGUAUUUUAUUUUCAUCGAGCGGCAGUAACAGCAGCAAACUCUUAAUCAAACGAGUCGCGAUAAGUAAAUUCGAUUACCGACGUUCGUUAGAACGAAUUUACUUUGCGCGCUCGCGAUCAGCAGGAUUUCAAUUUUUGCUUCAACGCGAUAGGUAUAUGUAAAUGUGGUAGAAAUGCAGCACCUAGCCUGUACGUUUGCUUCGAGAGUACACAGACCUACACCCUUUUUUUAUGCUGUUCCAAUCUACGUUUAUUCAUUCUUUUAUGGAUACCAGCUCCCUCGUAGCGUAGGUUCGCCUUUCAUUUUGUUUCAACCACGAGCAGGACCAAAUGAAAAGCUGAAACGGUCAAAGAAGGUAUACCAUCCGAUGCAGAAAUAAAGGUAGCGCAACGCGAUGUGGCAAGAUCUAUGCCGUUAUACGAUCCAAUGUCGAGGCAUUUUUCACUCUUUAUCCUGGAAACGAGGAAAACGGAAAGAAAACACGAUCCAGAAAUCGGAAGAAGGUGUCGCAAAAAGACGGUAAACGACUACAACCGGAAAACGGAACUGAGAAAGCAAUCGGAGAUAAACGUGUAAAUUGGCCAUGGUGAUGGGAAAGAAAGGGAUGCUUGAGUCUUCGACCGUGUCAACUCUUCUCGUAUAAGAUGUUCAGCUCGAGCAGGAUCGAGGACCGGUUGAAAAGCGAACGAACGAAUAAAGGAGCGAGGAAGAGAGGAGAGGAGAGGAGAGGAAAGGGCACGUAAAAAAGGAUGUUGAAAGGAGGAGAAGAGAGGUGCCGCGUGAACGAGAAAAGAAAAAAAAGAAAAGGACGAACCGGCUCUGCUCGCCAGCUGACGGUCUCGUGCCGCAACCCAAAACUCUUUUCGAAGAUUCGGUUGCCGGUAUUUGUAUAUCACGUAUGGUACCCGCGCAACUUGGCUGCUUUUGCGCUACCUGCCGUUGCUGACCCUCGCGACUCUGGCUACUCGAUCUUUAUCGAUUCCACUCGAUCGAUUUCGCUACGCAACCUUUCGACCGUACACGCUUCCACUCGAAAUAAUCAGUCGAUCGAUCUUUGACCGUACCUAAAAGCCACAGAGACAAUAGUAUUGUUCGUAUCAUAGAAGAAAUUGCCGCGGACGAGAACGAUGUCGUUCGCAUUCGUUGUUCCUCCUCUUGCGCAAUUCUCUUCGUCCGCUCGCUCGUCUUCGUCGCAUUCCCGUUGGUAUUGAUCCGUUGAGUUUUCGAAAGUAAAAUAGGUUAUGCCGUGAAUCGCACGGAACUACAACUCCGGACAGCAACGAACGAGACGAAGCGGUGCUAUGGAACAGAAACGAUGAGAACGGAAACGAUGAGAAACGAAACGAAAAGAGCGACGAACGAACUGCAUCCACGGAUGAAUACAAAUACGUCGCUUAAACCGUGUGGAUACCGCCUAUACCAGUGUGCAAGUUUACACGAAGAAGAAACCGUGGUUACACUAAGGGGGCCGAGGAGAACGGGUGGGGACCAACUGGCGAAGCCAAAGGAAGAGACGGGGAGUUUGCAAAGUUUCGAGAUUCAAGAGCGCUGCUCUCAAUACGACAAGUUUGUGCAAACAAGAACUUACUUCGAAGGAUGGAUAAUGUCGCAGAUAAAUCAACGAAAUUUAAUAAAUCGACGUCUCUAAGA